GGUUCCCUAGAGCACAUUACUUGGGCUUGUGUCUAGUGUAUCUCCAGUCAGGGAGACUCCACAGCCUCUCUGGGCAAUCUGUUUCAGUCACCCACACAGUAAAGAAGAUUUUCCUCAUGUUCAGGUGGAGGUUCCUGUGCAUCACUUUCUGCCCAUUGCCUCCUGUCCUACUGCUCAGCACCAGUGAGCAGAGCCUGGCUGCAUCCUCCUGGCACCUCCCUUCAGACACUCACAGCCAUGGAUGAGCUCCCCUCUCAGUGCCUCUUCUCGGGGCUGAACAGGCCCAGCUCCCUCUGCCUUUCCUCCUAAGAGAUGCUCCAGUGCCUCAAUCCCCUUUGUUACCCUCCACUGGAGCCACUCCAGGAGCUCCAUGUCUCUCUUGUCCUGAGGGGCCCAGGACUGGACACAGCAGUCCAGAUGUGCCUCACCAGGGCUGGGCAGAGGGGCAGGAUCACCUCCCCUGGCCUGCUGGCAAUGCCCUUCCUCAUGCACCCCGGGAUUCCAUGGCCUUCUUGGCCACAAGGACAGGCUGCUGGCUCAUGGAUGGCUCGUUGUCCACCAGGACCCCCAGGUCCUUCUCCACAGGAGGUCAGCCCCCAGCGUGUAGUGGUGCAGAACCCUGCAUUUCCUUUUGUGGAAUUCCAGAAGGUUCCUCCCUGCCCAUCUGCCCAGCUUGUUGAGGCCCUUCCAAAGGGCUGCACAGCACUCUGGGGUAUUGGCCUCUCCUCCCAGCUUUGUGUCAUCAGUGAACUUGCUGAGGACACAUCUGCCCCUUCAUCCAGGUCAUUGAUGAACAAGUUAAACAACAGCUCAAUUCAAGCUCAGUACUGAAGCUUGGAGGACACCACUGGUGACAGGCCUCAAACUAGAUCCUGUGCUGCUGAGUGUGACCCUCUGGGACCUGCUGUUCAGCCAGUGCUCAGUCCACCUCACCAUCCAUUCGUCCAGCCUGCUCCUCCUGAGCUUGACUAUCAGGAUGUUGUGAGAGACAGUGUCAUAUGGAAAAAAAAAAUUGUUAACCAAAAGCUAUUUUUAAAGCAUGUAAUGACGAAUCCAGUUGCUUUGAAGUCCAUGUGGUAUUUUAUGCAAUGACACAGAACUGCAUUCUGCUUGGCUUGCAAACAGAAAUCCAGCUGUCUUGCUUUUUUCUUUUCUUUUAAUGCCAUUAGACAAAAUAAAUCCAUUGCUUUUAAAUUAAGGAAAGAAAGAUAAUGGUUCUGGAAUACAGAGGACUAUUGAAACAAACAUGUCAUUACAGUGUGUGAAGCUUUUAAGCUUAGAAAUGGAUAAUAAUUGAUGAAAAGGAUGUCAUCAAAACCAAACCAAAGCACAACUAAAUGAAAAAAAGCCCCAGCUUUCAAACUCUUUACAGUUCUUUUUGAAGCCUUACAUUUCCUGUAGAUUUGUGUUUUCCUGAUUACUUCAGUAAACUUUAUGGGUCAUAAGGUAGAGAUACAAAACAUAACAAAUUAAAGCAUACCAAAACUAUUCUCUUUUAUUAAUUUCAGGUAUGGCCUUCUGCUAGAAAAGGUGAGCUUCCAGAGUGCUUCAUGAACAAAUUUCCACCAGAGGCAUCCAUAAUCAAAAAGAUGCUUUCAACAGACCCUUCGGGAAGAAUCACUAUAUCUCAUUUACUCGACCUUGUUAAGUCUGUUGAUGAAGAGAAGGAAGUUAGAAAUUAUUCUUAUUAAAUGUCCUUUCAUACUGUGUUUAAAUCCAGAGUUUGAUGAAUUUAUUACAGUUGAUGAAAUGACAACAGA
Cyanistes caeruleus (blue tit) is the source of this 1760-nucleotide non-coding RNA. Lineage: Eukaryota; Metazoa; Chordata; Aves; Passeriformes; Paridae. The record is from RefSeq and is a predicted model, not a curated record.